UCUUAUCAUAUCUACUCUUUUUUAUACUAUGCCUAGAACUACUUGUACAAGCCCAAUUUCGCCUGGGGCCCAAUAAAGCCCUUACAAACCAAAAAUAAUAAAACAAACCCAAUUCAAAUUUACAACAGACCCAAUUUAAACCCAACAACCCACAAGCCCAAUACCUAAAAUACCCAAACCCAAGUCAGCCCAAAAUGAACCUACUCCAACCGCCCUGCAAAAUGAAAAGACAACACACAAUCAAGC
This 246-nucleotide long non-coding RNA is filed under the name Gossypium raimondii (Peruvian cotton). RNAcentral's name for it is "long non-coding RNA (GRAI_LNC000249)". Lineage: Eukaryota; Viridiplantae; Streptophyta; Magnoliopsida; Malvales; Malvaceae. The record is from RNAcentral.